RNAcentral lists this transfer RNA (67 nucleotides) under Malaccina discoidalis. RNAcentral's name for it is "tRNA-Thr". It matches the Rfam family "tRNA". From Rfam's summary of the family: Transfer RNA (tRNA) molecules are approximately 80 nucleotides in length. Their secondary structure includes four short double-helical elements and three loops (D, anti-codon, and T loops). Further hydrogen bonds mediate the characteristic L-shaped molecular structure. tRNAs have two regions of fundamental functional importance: the anti-codon, which is responsible for specific mRNA codon recognition, and the 3' end, to which the tRNAs corresponding amino acid is attached (by aminoacyl-tRNA synthetases). tRNAs cope with the degeneracy of the genetic code in two manners: having more than one tRNA (with a specific anti-codon) for a particular amino acid; and 'wobble' base-pairing, i.e. permitting non-standard base-pairing at the 3rd anti-codon position. Lineage: Eukaryota; Metazoa; Arthropoda; Insecta; Blattodea; Blattellidae. The record is from RNAcentral.
GUUUUAAUAAUUUAAUAAAAAUAUUGGUCUUGUAAACCAAAUUUAAGGUCCUAAACCUUUUAAAACU